This 72-nucleotide transfer RNA is filed under the name Danionella translucida. It matches the Rfam family "tRNA". Rfam says of the family: Transfer RNA (tRNA) molecules are approximately 80 nucleotides in length. Their secondary structure includes four short double-helical elements and three loops (D, anti-codon, and T loops). Further hydrogen bonds mediate the characteristic L-shaped molecular structure. tRNAs have two regions of fundamental functional importance: the anti-codon, which is responsible for specific mRNA codon recognition, and the 3' end, to which the tRNAs corresponding amino acid is attached (by aminoacyl-tRNA synthetases). tRNAs cope with the degeneracy of the genetic code in two manners: having more than one tRNA (with a specific anti-codon) for a particular amino acid; and 'wobble' base-pairing, i.e. permitting non-standard base-pairing at the 3rd anti-codon position. Lineage: Eukaryota; Metazoa; Chordata; Actinopteri; Cypriniformes; Danionidae. The record is from Rfam by way of RNAcentral. RNAcentral also lists the same sequence under 1 other name.
GGGGGUAUAGCUCAGUGGUAGAGCAUUUGAUUGCAGAUCAAGACGUCUCCGGUACAAGUCUGGGUGCCCCCU